This 352-nucleotide ribosomal RNA is filed under the name uncultured prokaryote. RNAcentral's name for it is "partial 16S ribosomal RNA". The record is from RNAcentral.
CCACAACCAACCAGAACGUGAAAAAGCGUCCUGCGUGUAGCGAACUGCGAUGGGCAUACUGUAACCAUAAGGCCACGUAUUUUGCAAGCUAUUUAACUGGCGGCGAUUGCGUACCCGACGACCAAAAUUAGGGUCAACGCUACCUGUAGGAAGUGUCCGCAUAAAGUGCACCGCAUGGAAAUGAAGACGGCCAUUAGCUGUACCAUACUCAGGCACACAAAAAUACUGAUAGCAGUCGGCGUGUGAAUCAUUAGCCUUGCGACCCUCGGCAGCAAGAACCAUACGACCAAUAUCACGAAAAUAGUCACGCAAAGCAUUGGGAUUAUCAUAAAACGCCUCUAAUCGGUCGUCA